Molecule: ribosomal RNA, 429 nt
Filed under: bacterium
Lineage: Bacteria
Description: partial 16S ribosomal RNA
Rfam family: Bacterial small subunit ribosomal RNA
Source: RNAcentral
UAGGGAAUCUUCGGCAAUGGGGGCAACCCUGACCGAGCAACGCCGCGUGAGUGAAGAAGGUUUUCGGAUCGUAAAGCUCUGUUGCAAGAGAAGAACGUGUGUGAGAGUGGAAAGUUCACACAGUGACGGUAACUUACCAGAAAGGGACGGCUAACUACGUGCCAGCAGCCGCGGUAAUACGUAGGUCCCGAGCGUUGUCCGGAUUUAUUGGGCGUAAAGCGAGCGCAGGCGGUUUAAUAAGUCUGAAGUUAAAGGCAGUGGCUUAACCAUUGUUCGCUUUGGAAACUGUUAAACUUGAGUGCAGAAGGGGAGAGUGGAAUUCCAUGUGUAGCGGUGAAAUGCGUAGAUAUAUGGAGGAACACCGGUGGCGAAAGCGGCUCUCUGGUCUGUAACUGACGCUGAGGCUCGAAAGCGUGGGGAGCAAACAGG